Molecule: non-coding RNA, 30 nt
Filed under: Homo sapiens (human)
Lineage: Eukaryota; Metazoa; Chordata; Mammalia; Primates; Hominidae
Source: RNAcentral
UCUCAGCAGGCAGUGACUGGCAUGGUGUGU